Molecule: non-coding RNA, 1778 nt
Organism: Macaca mulatta (Rhesus monkey)
Lineage: Eukaryota; Metazoa; Chordata; Mammalia; Primates; Cercopithecidae
Source: RefSeq, a predicted model, not a curated record
GAAAAAGAGAGAAAGAGAAAGAAAAAAAGAAAAGAAAAGAGAAAAGAAAAGAGGACAUUUUCCUACCACCAGCACAUUGAGGGCGAGGGAUCGUCAGAAGUUCACAAAUCAGAGGACUGGAUUCUGUCUUUGCCUUGAACCUGGCAAAGUGAAGUAGAGAAAAAUAAAAAAGGCCCCCAGCCUCCCAUGCCUGCAUAUCUUGACGUUUGUGGUCAAGAUCACAGCCAAAGACUCACACCAGCUAAGUCACAAAGUUUGGCUCAGCCUGGGGCUUCCUGGAAACCACUAAGCUGAAGAGGUUCGUGAGGUCCCCACAGUUCAUUUAGAAUUCACAGCCUUCCCCUAUGACAUUUUUGUUUCUAACAUAGAUCUCCUCUAAGGAAAGGGAUAGAGCUGCCACAGAGAACAAAAUGCCCUUCAGCCCUGAGUUCAUCAGUUCUUGCUGUACAAAAACACCUUUUUCCCCCCUCUAACACAGGAAAUGCAGGAAACCAGCACCAGCUGAUUUAAAAAAAAAAAAAAAAGACCCCUCCCCCGCCACCACACACACACACACCCCACGCACCCACACACACAAGCCUUUCAACUUGUCCAGAAACUUGCCCACAGCACUUCUGGCCACGCCGGGCUGGGCCAUUGUGACGUCAGGCCGGCAGUCAGCCAAUGGAUGAAUGGUUCUGACUUUCUCAUCUGCAUAUUGCGGUGGCAUUGGUUCAGAUUUCAGGGCCAUUUGUAUUGUGGUGGUUUCUUUAUGUUCAAGGUUAUCCACCCCAGGCAGAGGACAAACUCCACUCCUGGCCUUCCUGCCCAGCUACAUUUAAGGGUUGUAACCAGGACAGUGAGUCCGUUCUGGGAAAGGGGCCUCAUGGAGGUUAUGAAAUCCAGCAGGGCAUGGAAGGAGAAAGAAUUGGCAAUCCAGACGGGAUGGAGGCAGGAGUUGGCUCUGUAACCCCAUCUUUCCUAUCCACCAGCACUCCCCUGCGCUUCCCAAGUGAUUUAAUUAUCCAUUCUUUAACUGCAACUCGAUUAGCCCUGAAAUUUGGGUGAAGAGAAAUCAGACACAGGGGACUACUGCUGAGAAACUCUGCCUUGAUUUUCCAAGUCACUUUUAAUUUUAAAUGUUUAUUUCCCCAUGGUCUUCACAAACCAUUGAAAUAUCUCAGCAACUGAAAUAUUCCAGCAUGCAAACUUGAUCUCUUCGAUUGCCUACCACACCCAAAAGCUGUGCAGAAACCUCCUAACACGUACACUUAUUUGGACUGGAAACUGGAGCCACCAUCACUAUGAAGAGAUGUGGAGUGAUCAGACUUCCAUGUGUGAUGAUUAAUUUUAUGUGUCUACUGGACUAGGUUAAGGGAUGCCCAGAUGGCUGGUAAAACAUUAUUUCUAGGUAUGUCCAUGAGGGUAUUUCCAGAAGAGAUUAGCAUUUGAAUCUGAAUAAUGUUUGCCUUCACCAAUUCAGGUGAGCAUCAUGCCAUCCAUUGAGAGCCCAAAUGGAACAAAAAGGUUUAGGAAGCGUGAAUUCGCUGUCUCUGCUUGAGCUGGAGCAUCAUCUCUUGCCCUCAGGCAUCAGCACUCCUGGUUUGGGGGACUUAGGAUUCAGACUGGGACCUAUGCCAUUGGUUUCCCUGGUUCUCAGGCCUCCGGGCUUCGUUGGACUGGAACUAUACCACCUGUUUUCCUGGGUCUUCAGCUUGCAGAUGGCAGACUGUGGGACUUCUCAGUCUUCAUCAUUGUGUGAGCCAAUCCCCCAUAAUAAAUAUCUUUCUCUAUGUCUA